This 469-nucleotide ribosomal RNA is filed under the name uncultured Gammaproteobacteria bacterium. RNAcentral describes it as "bacterial SSU rRNA". It matches the Rfam family "Bacterial small subunit ribosomal RNA", at positions 46 to 494 of the family's 1533-position model. Lineage: Bacteria; Pseudomonadati; Pseudomonadota; Gammaproteobacteria. The record is from RNAcentral.
GCCUAACACAUGCAAGUCGAGCGGAAACGACACUAACAAUCCUUCGGGUGCGUUAAUGGGCGUCGAGCGGCGGACGGGUGAGUAAUGCCUAGGAAAUUGCCUUGAUGUGGGGGAUAACCAUUGGAAACGAUGGCUAAUACCGCAUAAUGCCUACGGGCCAAAGAGGGGGACCUUCGGGCCUCUCGCGUCAAGAUAUGCCUAGGUGGGAUUAGCUAGUUGGUGAGGUAAUGGCUCACCAAGGCGACGAUCCCUAGCUGGUUUGAGAGGAUGAUCAGCCACACUGGAACUGAGACACGGUCCAGACUCCUACGGGAGGCAGCAGUGGGGAAUAUUGCACAAUGGGCGAAAGCCUGAUGCAGCCAUGCCGCGUGUAUGAAGAAGGCCUUCGGGUUGUAAAGUACUUUCAGUUGUGAGGAAGGGGGUAGCGUUAAUAGCGNCUAUAUUGGGCGUUAGCAACAGAAGAAGCACC